This 759-nucleotide ribosomal RNA is filed under the name uncultured bacterium. RNAcentral's name for it is "bacterial SSU rRNA". It matches the Rfam family "Bacterial small subunit ribosomal RNA", at positions 642 to 1401 of the family's 1533-position model. The record is from RNAcentral.
GGAGUGGGGUAGGGGGUAAUUGGGAAUUCUGGGGGUAGCCGGUGGAAUGGGCCGAAUUUCCGGAGGAACCCCCGAUGGGGAAGGCGGGUACUGGGCCCCCACUGACGGUGAGGAGCGAAAGGUGGGUAGCGAACAGGAUUAGAUACCCUGGUAGUCCACGCCGUAAACGUUGGGCACUAGGUGUGGGGCCUUUCCAUGGGUUCUGCGCCGUAGCUAACGCAUUAAGUGCCCCGCCUGGGGAGUACGGCCGCAAGGCUAAAACUCAAAGGAAUUGACGGGGGCCCGCACAAGCGGCGGAGCAUGCGGAUUAAUUCGAUGCAACGUGAAGAACCUUACCAAGGCUUGACAUACACCGGAAUCAUGCAGAGAUGUGUGAGUCUUCGGACUGGUGUACAGGUGGUGCAUGGUUGUCGUCAGCUCGUGUCGUGAGAUGUUGGGUUAAGUCCCGCAACGAGCGCAACCCUUGUCUCGUGUUGCCAGCAUUUAGUUGGGGACUCACGAGAGACUGCCGGGGUUAACUCGGAGGGAGGUGGGGAUGACGUCAAAUCAUCAUGCCCCUUAUGUCUUGGGCUUCACGCAUGCUACAAUGGCAAGUACAGAGUGUUGCGAGCCUGUGAGGGUGAGCGAAUCACUUAAAGCUUGUCUCAGUUCGGAUUGGGGUCUGCAACUCGACCCCAUGAAGUCGGAGUCGCUAGUAAUCGCAGAUCAGCAACGCUGCGGUGAAUACGUUCUCGGGCCUUGUACACACCGCCCGUCAAG